RNAcentral lists this ribosomal RNA (448 nucleotides) under Stenotrophomonas sp. RNAcentral's name for it is "bacterial SSU rRNA". It matches the Rfam family "Bacterial small subunit ribosomal RNA", at positions 73 to 524 of the family's 1533-position model. The record is from RNAcentral. Lineage: Bacteria; Pseudomonadati; Pseudomonadota; Gammaproteobacteria; Lysobacterales; Lysobacteraceae.
AGUUGGAUUUUUGGGUGGGGAGUGGCGGACGGGUGAGGAAACAUCGGAAUUUACUUUUCGUGGGGGAUAACGUAGGGAAACUACGCUAAUACCGCAUACGACCUUCGGGGAAAGCAGGGGACCUUCGGGCCUGCGCGGAUAGAUGAGCCGAUGUCGGAUUAGCUAGUUGGCGGGGUAAAGGCCCACCAAGGCGACGAUCCGUAGCUGGUCUGAGAGGAUGAUCAGCCACACUGGAACUGAGACACGGUCCAGACUCCUACGGGAGGCAGCAGUGGGGAAUAUUGGACAAUGGGCGCAAGCCUGAUCCAGCCAUACCGCGUGGGUGAAGAAGGCCUUCGGGUUGUAAAGCCCUUUUGUUGGGAAAGAAAAGCAGCCAGUUAAUACUGGUUGUUCUGACGGUACCCAAAGAAUAAGCACCGGCUAACUUCGUGCCAGCAGCCGCGUAUAA